GAUGAACGCUGGCGGCGUGCCUAAUACAUGCAAGUCGAGCGAACGGACGAGAAGCUUGCUUCUCUGAUGUUAGCGGCGGACGGGUGAGUAACACGUGGCUAACCUACCUAUAAGACUGGGAUAACUUCGGGAAACCGUAGCUAAUACCGGAUAAUAUUUUGAACCGCAUGGUUCAAAAGUGAAAGACGGACUUGCUGUCACUUAUAGAUGGAUCCGCGCUGCAUUAGCUAGUUGGUAAGGUAACGGCUUACCAAGGCAACGAUGCAUAGCCGACCUGAGAGGAUGAUCGGCCACACUGGAACUGAGACACGGUCCAGACUCCUACGGGAGGCAGCAGUAGGGAAUCUUCCGCAAUGGGCGAAAGCCUGACGGAGCAACGCCGCGUGAGUGAUGAAGGUCUUCGGAUCGUAAAACUCUGUUAUUAGGGAAGAACAUAUGUGUAAGUAACUGUGCACAUCUUGACGGUACCUAAUGAGAAAGCCACGGCUAACUACGUG
This 497-nucleotide ribosomal RNA is filed under the name uncultured bacterium. RNAcentral describes it as "partial 16S ribosomal RNA". It matches the Rfam family "Bacterial small subunit ribosomal RNA", at positions 28 to 507 of the family's 1533-position model. The record is from RNAcentral.